UGCGGACCUACGGGAGGCAGCAGUGAGGAAUAUUGGUCAAUGGGCGCGAGCCUGAACCAGCCAAGUAGCGUGAAGGAUGACUGCCCUACGGGUUGUAAACUUCUUUUAUAAAGGAAUAAAGUGAGGCACGUGUGCCUUUUUGUAUGUACUUUAUGAAUAAGGAUCGGCUAACUCCGUGCCAGCAGCCGCGGUAAUACGGAGGAUCCGAGCGUUAUCCGGAUUUAUUGGGUUUA
This 233-nucleotide ribosomal RNA is filed under the name uncultured bacterium. RNAcentral describes it as "partial 16S ribosomal RNA". It matches the Rfam family "Bacterial small subunit ribosomal RNA", at positions 330 to 562 of the family's 1533-position model. The record is from RNAcentral.